GCUUAAAACUAGGCGGCACUUU
This 22-nucleotide microRNA is filed under the name Mus musculus (house mouse). RNAcentral describes it as "mmu-miR-290b-5p". Its record names the gene mmu-miR-290b-5p. The record is from miRBase by way of RNAcentral. Lineage: Eukaryota; Metazoa; Chordata; Mammalia; Rodentia; Muridae.